RNAcentral lists this transfer RNA (73 nucleotides) under Caudoviricetes sp. RNAcentral describes it as "tRNA-Met". It matches the Rfam family "tRNA". Rfam says of the family: Transfer RNA (tRNA) molecules are approximately 80 nucleotides in length. Lineage: Duplodnaviria; Heunggongvirae; Uroviricota; Caudoviricetes. The record is from RNAcentral.
AGCGGGAUAGAGCAGUUGGCAGCUCGUCGGGUUCAUUCCCCGAAGGUCGUGGGUUCAAAUCCCACUCCUGCAA